RNAcentral lists this long non-coding RNA (602 nucleotides) under Dromaius novaehollandiae (emu). RNAcentral's name for it is "lncRNA (ENSDNVG00000009564.1)". Lineage: Eukaryota; Metazoa; Chordata; Aves; Casuariiformes; Dromaiidae. The record is from RNAcentral.
CUUUCUUCAGAAAUCGAGGUUGUGUUUCACGCAGGUACGAAGAAUGCAUUUCCUGGUGCCACUCCUCAUGGAGCAGCUGCAGGAUGUGGACAGGGACAUUGGCACAAAGGCCUUGGUGGUGCUCAGCCAUGUGGUCCAUGUCAUGGCCGGAGAGAGGGUGGCUGGCAUCGCUCUGCAGCUGUUGGAGAAGCUCCUGCCGCUCUUUGAUGACGAGCCUAGGCRCGUGCGAGAGCUCUCCAUCCACCUCUUCAAAGAUGUCAUGGAGGCUGUAGUGGGCAGCAGAGAUAAGCAGGUGAAGGAGCAAGUGCACAGGAGCCUGCUCCCCCUGGUCUUCCAUUUGCAUGACGAGAGCCUGAACGUGGCCCAGGCCUCACAGGAAGCCCUCCUUGGUGCUGCCAAGUUCCUCAAGUGGGAGCAGCUGGGACACCUGACCGUGGCAGCACAGACGUGGAGGAUCGGCGAGUGCCUGCUGGCGAGGGACAGCAGAAGGGCAGAAUACCUGCGCCAUAGCCUGUCGUGCUUGCAGAGCCCACAGGAGCCCUUGCGGGAGGCAGCCGUGAGGUUCACUGGUGAGUGGCAACCCCUGGGGUCCCUCUCUGUCC